Molecule: long non-coding RNA, 1062 nt
Filed under: Homo sapiens (human)
Lineage: Eukaryota; Metazoa; Chordata; Mammalia; Primates; Hominidae
Description: non-protein coding lnc-ATRX-5:1
Source: RNAcentral
AUGUGAAUGCUUGAGGGAAAAAUUGAAAUGAACAUAAAUCCUUAGAACUAUAUUUUUGAGAGAGGUAAAAAAUUAUGGUUAUAUGAGUAUUUCCAAAGAUAGCAAUUAAGUUGCAAAAAUCAUAUUGAAAAUGAUGAUAUUCAAACAAGUACUUAACCCUUACAUGUUUUGGUCUCCAUGGCUAUAGUGGCAGAACUUGUACCCCAUUGUUGUAUUGAUGAUGUCAUCUGACGUGUAACAGGCAUUGGAAGAGUUGUCCUUAUGGGUUUAGUGUUUAUUCAGCUCAGUGUGGAGAAAAAAAUGUUUUUUUAGGAAACUGUGCUUAUUUUCUUUCCUCUCACAAUUGGAUAAUAAAACCAAGUUUUACAAUUCAGAGAAGAAUGACUUAUUUCUCGAAAUCUAGAUUCGGAAUACUUCAUCUUCAACUGUGUUUAUACAAAGUAUUUCCUUUAUGUAAUCUGAUAUGCACACUGGAAAAGAAUUAAAUACUGUCAACCAAGAUGGAGAAAAUCAAUGUACAUUUGGAACAACGACAUUUUUGCAGUCAAUGGAAGGACGCCAGUACUUAGACCAUGUUCAACUCAAGCAGAAAUAUUCAGAGGAAGCUGGUAUCAUUAAGGGACUAAGAGAAAUGGGAAAAUUGGAUAUAGUGUGGAAAAGAAAUCUAGGUGAAAUGGCAAUGCUACAGACAAUCCAACUUUUAGGAGAGUCUCCAGGUUAUGAAAAUAUGAGGCUGUCUUUGGAGAUAAUCCCAGAUUCUGUAACUAGAAGAGCCUUUUCACAUUACCUGCAAAACAACAAACUGCAGUGAUAGGAAAAUGAAAUUGAUUUUGAAUAUGUGUGAUACAGAUUCUAUUCAUUGUUAUGGAAGUUCACGAAGGUAUCUUGGAAAGCUGCCUUCAUGUUCAUCUCUCUGCUUUACCUAAACACUACUAUUUUUAAAACCAGGCCUGCAAAGUGUCUCUGAGAUACAGCUAACAGACAAAUUACUACAGAAAACAUAUGACUAUGAUAAUGUUGCAAAUGUCUGUGUAAUACCUUCCAAUGUUAAAAUGAAAAGCU